UGGGGAAUCUUGCACAAUGGGGGCAACCCUGAUGCAGCGACGCCGCGUGAGCGAUGAAGCCCUUCGGGGCGUAAAGCUCUUUCGACCGGAACGAUAAUGACGGUACCGGGAGAAGAAGCUGCGGCUAACUACGUGCCAGCAGCCGCGGUAAUACGUAGGCAGCAAGCGUUGUUCGGAGUUACUGGGCGUAAAGAGUGCGUAGGCGGUUUUCUAAGUUCGGUGUGAAAUCUCCCGGCUUAACUGGGAGGGUGCGCCGAAGACUGGGAAGCUGGAGUGUGGGAAAGGCAGGCGGAAUUCCUGGUGUAGCGGUGAAUGCGUAGAUAUCAGGAGGAACACCGGCGGUGUAGACGGCUUGCUAGACCAUAACUGACGCUGAGGCACGAAAGCGUGGGUAGCAAACA
Molecule: ribosomal RNA, 401 nt
Filed under: uncultured bacterium
Lineage: Bacteria
Description: bacterial SSU rRNA
Rfam family: Bacterial small subunit ribosomal RNA
Source: RNAcentral